AAGUCGUAACAAGGUUUCCGUAGGUGAACCUGCGGAAGGAUCAUUAAUAAACUAGUCGUUCGUGUAGGGGCAACCUGAUCAUCACGAUGUAAGCUCACUAGUCACCCUUGAAUAUCAUACCUUUGUUGCUUUGGCGGGCCGCCCUCGUGGCCAGCGGCUCCGGCUGCUGCGUGCCCGCCAGAGGACCCCAACUCUUGUUUUUAGUGAUGUCUGAGUACUAUAUAAUAGUUAAAACUUUCAACAACGGAUCUCUUGGUUCUG
This 261-nucleotide unclassified non-coding RNA is filed under the name Hymenella cerealis. Its description in RNAcentral is "Cephalosporium gramineum partial internal transcribed spacer region". The stretch from base 1 to 46 matches the Rfam family "Eukaryotic small subunit ribosomal RNA", at positions 1786 to 1831 of the family's 1831-position model. The record is from RNAcentral. Lineage: Eukaryota; Fungi; Ascomycota.